UACGUAGGGUGCGAGCGUUGUCCGGAAUCAUUGGGCGUAAAGAGCUCGUAGGCGGUUAGUUAAGUCUGCUCUUAAAGACCAGGGCUCAAUCCUGGGAGUGGAGUGGAAACUGGCUGACUGGAGGACGUCAGAGGAAGGUGGAAUUCCCAGUGUAGCGGUGAAAUGCGUAGAUAUUGGGAGGAACACCAGUGGCGAAAGCGACCUUCUGGGACGAUCCUGACGCUGAGGUUCGAAAGCUCGGGGAGCAAACAGG
This 253-nucleotide unclassified non-coding RNA is filed under the name uncultured cyanobacterium. RNAcentral describes it as "contains 16S-23S intergenic spacer region". It matches the Rfam family "Bacterial small subunit ribosomal RNA", at positions 524 to 776 of the family's 1533-position model. Lineage: Bacteria; Bacillati; Cyanobacteriota. The record is from RNAcentral.